This 298-nucleotide unclassified non-coding RNA is filed under the name plant metagenome. RNAcentral's name for it is "partial contains 5.8S ribosomal RNA, internal transcribed spacer 2, and large subunit ribosomal RNA". The stretch from base 1 to 105 matches the Rfam family "5.8S ribosomal RNA", at positions 50 to 154 of the family's 154-position model. The record is from RNAcentral.
GAAAUGCGAUAACUAGUGUGAAUUGCAGAAUUCAGUGAAUCAUCGAAUCUUUGAACGCACAUUGCGCCCCCUGGUAUUCCGGGGGGCAUGCCUGUUCGAGCGUCAUUUCACCACUCAAGCCUCGCUUGGUAUUGGGCAACGCGGUCCGCCGCGUGCCUCAAAUCGACCGGCUGGGUCUUCUGUCCCCUAAGCGUUGUGGAAACUAUUCGCUAAAGGGUGUUCGGGAGGCUACGCCGUAAAACAACCCCAUUUCUAAGGUUGACCUCGGAUCAGGUAGGGAUACCCGCUGAACUUAAGC